GAGCGGCGGACGGGUGAGUAAUGCCUAGGAAAUUGCCCUGAUGUGGGGGAUAACCAUUGGAAACGAUGGCUAAUACCGCAUAAUGCCUACGGGCCAAAGAGGGGGACCUUCGGGCCUCUCGCGUCAGGAUAUGCCUAGGUGGGAUUAGCUAGUUGGUGAGGUAAUGGCUCACCAAGGCGACGAUCCCUAGCUGGUCUGAGAGGAUGAUCAGCCACACUGGAACUGAGACACGGUCCAGACUCCUACGGGAGGCAGCAGUGGGGAAUAUUGCACAAUGGGCGCAAGCCUGAUGCAGCCAUGCCGCGUGUGUGAAGAAGGCCUUCGGGUUGUAAAGCACUUUCAGUCGUGAGGAAGGUUGUGUAGUUAAUAGCUGCAUUAUUUGACGUUAGCGACAGAAGAAGCACCGGCUAACUCCGUGCCAGCAGCCGCGGUAAUACGGAGGGUGCGAGCGUUAAUCGGAAUUACUGGGCGUAAAGCGCAUGCAGGUGGUUUGUUAAGUCAGAUGUGAAAGCCCGGGGCUCAACCUCGGAAUAGCAUUUGAAACUGGCAGACUAGAGUACUGUAGAGGGGGGUAGAAUUUUCAGGUGUAGCGGUGAAAUGCGUAGAGAUCUGAAGGAAUACCGGUGGCGAAGGCGGCCCCCUGGACAGAUACUGACACUCAGAUGCGAAAGCGUGGGGAGCAAACAGGAUUAGAUACCCUGGUAGUCCACGCCGUAAACGAUGUCUACUUGGAGGUUGUGGCCUUGAGCCGUGGCUUUCGGAGCUAACGCGUUAAGUAGACCGCCUGGGGAGUACGGUCGCAAGAUUAAAACUCAAAUGAAUUGACGGGGGCCCGCACAAGCGGUGGAGCAUGUGGUUUAAUUCGAUGCAACGCGAAGAACCUUACCUACUCUUGACAUCCAGAGAACUUUCCAGAGAUGGAUUGGUGCCUUCGGGAACUCUGAGACAGGUGCUGCAUGGCUGUCGUCAGCUCGUGUUGUGAAAUGUUGGGUUAAGUCCCGCAACGAGCGCAACCCUUAUCCUUGUUUGCCAGCGAGUAAUGUCGGGAACUCCAGGGAGACUGCCGGUGAUAAACCGGAGGAAGGUGGGGACGACGUCAAGUCAUCAUGGCCCUUACGAGUAGGGCUACACACGUGCUACAAUGGCGCAUACAGAGGGCAGCAAGCUAGCGAUAGUGAGCGAAUCCCAAAAAGUGCGUCGUAGUCCGGAUUGGAGUCUGCAACUCGACUCCAUGAAGUCGGAAUCGCUAGUAAUCGUGGAUCAGAAUGCCACGGUGAAUACGUUCCCGGGCCUUGUACACACCGCCCGUCACACCAUGGGAGUGGG
RNAcentral lists this ribosomal RNA (1326 nucleotides) under Vibrio sp. 1G11. RNAcentral describes it as "bacterial SSU rRNA". It matches the Rfam family "Bacterial small subunit ribosomal RNA", at positions 93 to 1414 of the family's 1533-position model. The record is from RNAcentral. Lineage: Bacteria; Pseudomonadati; Pseudomonadota; Gammaproteobacteria; Vibrionales; Vibrionaceae.